UUUACAGCCCAGAAAUUACUCCAUGUUUAAACACAGCAUCUAUUUGUGCAAAUCCAAAAAUAUGCUUCAUGUUUAUAAACAGAUAUUAAACACUCCAAAAAACGUUAAUUUCAUUCGGCCUUCAUUCUGCCCGUGCCUUCCUGCUCGUAGACUGCAUGGAUGUGGCCGUCAAAGUCUUCACAUUUCUCUUUUUCGUUCCCUUUCUGCCCUCAACAGCGAUGAUUCCACCUCUUCCAUGCUCUGCACUUCAAACUUAUUUGCAUUAGGAGGAACAUUAUGUAUGGUGGCAGCAGGUCCGAACGAAAGGCUUCCAGUGUCUUUGAUACUUUAUCUUUCUUGAUUAAUAAACCCAAUGAAGCAUCCAGAAUUUUGUUUUAUCGAAACUUUCCAUGACUGUUUCUCACAAAAAUAAAAGAGUGAUAAUUAGAAGUGCCUUGAAUCAAAUUAACUAGUUCACCAAAUAAUCCAACAUAUAUAAAUAACAACAUAAAAAAAAUUAGAACGAUAUCUUAAUGAUUCAACAAAAUAACAAGUUUCCCAGAUAAUAUUCUUCAUUAGAUCACGAGUCUCAAAAUUCAUUAUAAUUUCAGUUAGUCAUUUGCUCCAAGUGUAAGAAACAAGACCUUCUAAGUUUCUAAAAACGAAUUGAUCUUGUCCACUCUUACGUUACUAUGAUUAAUGCCACCCAAUCUACUCCAAGACUGAGAAGUUUGUUAAGUUAUUUUCUUUACUGGAUUACAAAAACUAAUUCAGGAGUUAAAUGUUAUGAAAUAAUACUAAUUAACGCAAACAAGAAUGUUAAUAGAAGAAAGCUAGUACAAGAAUGCCCGUAAAACUACAUCAAUGUAUAAAUUUCAAAAUCUGAACCAAAUUUACUUUCAUUUCCGACAACCAUGUGCAUGCCUUCUCUAAUGCAAUCAAAAAACUUGCAACUCAUUAGUCCGAUUUUGGGAGGCCGCCGAUGGAGGCUUGAAACUGAUUUCGGGGUAGGGUUUGGGUUUGAGACUUUUAGGUUGUGGUUCAUCGUUCUCACGCUUUUGGCUUCUGUAUGAUGGAUUUUGGCUUCAAUUUGAAGAAAGGUUCGAAAUUGAUUUGGGGGGUUAGGGUUUGGCUUCAUGAUUUGGGUUGAAUCU
This 1133-nucleotide long non-coding RNA is filed under the name Olea europaea (common olive). RNAcentral describes it as "long non-coding RNA (OEUR_LNC006024)". Lineage: Eukaryota; Viridiplantae; Streptophyta; Magnoliopsida; Lamiales; Oleaceae. The record is from RNAcentral.